ACACAUUUUUGUGUGUUCUGUGGAUCGCCAGGAGCAAAAAGGAACCAAGGAGAAACCCUAGUUCCUAAAAUUCUCAAAAUCAGAAGGAGUUUAAGAGCCUAAACAAAUGCAUGAACCCAAAACUCGAGUUAUCUAAGCUUCUUCAACGAAUGGCACGAAGAAGGAAGAAGGUACGAGUCACUUGAAGUCGCAAGCUUCACAAGAUCACGGUAAAUCUCAUGCUUAGAAUGGCGAGCUCGGAUUCGAACACACCACAUCGUCCAUAUAUGCGCUUCCGGUUCAAGUUAUCUUUUGAAAUGGGUCAAAUAAUUUUUGUAAUGUAAAUGUAAAUUUUAUGUUUUAGGAUGUUCGUAAGUAGUUUGAAUUUUAAAACCUUUUUGGGUAGUUCGGACAUAACCCUUGUAUUAGGUCUUGUAUGGUCACUACUUUUAUUUCUUUUGAAAAAGUGUCGUAGAAGUUUAUUUGAAUGAUGUUUGUUAAAAGCAGGGGAAAUGUUUAUAGUACGAACGGGUCAUGCCAAA
RNAcentral lists this long non-coding RNA (521 nucleotides) under Helianthus annuus (common sunflower). The record is from RNAcentral. Lineage: Eukaryota; Viridiplantae; Streptophyta; Magnoliopsida; Asterales; Asteraceae.